AGCACUGUGACAACAACGAGGUCUUAAAGGCACUCUGUAAUGAAGCUGGUUGGGUGGUUGAGGAAGAUGGCACCACCUAUCGCAAGGGAUGCAAGCCACCUCCGAUUGAUAUUGGCACUUCUGCAAAUAUGAGUGCCUGUUCUUCUCUUCAACCAAGCCCACAAUCUUCAUGCUUCCCCAGUCCUGUACCAUCCUACCAUGCCAG
RNAcentral lists this unclassified non-coding RNA (205 nucleotides) under Hevea brasiliensis (rubber tree). Lineage: Eukaryota; Viridiplantae; Streptophyta; Magnoliopsida; Malpighiales; Euphorbiaceae. The record is from RNAcentral.